AGUCCAGAGGCUGUACUAAGUGUUUUAUAAAUAUUAUCACUAUUUCUUUAAGAAACAAUGCAAAAUAUGUACUUAUCUCCUACUUUACAGGUGAAGAAACUGAUGUUUGGAGAAGUAGAAUCCUUGCUUUAGUGAGGGACAUGGUGGUGAUGCUUGAAAGUCAAAACCCUAACCUGGUAACCUGGAAAUGUAGAUGGCUUGAUGAGAGUGAUUUCACAUUGAUCGUCCAUGACUCAAUGUCGGCAGAUACAUGUUCACAGUUCUCAGCCUAAAAUACAGAUGGCUAACAAACACAGGGAAAGAUG
Molecule: long non-coding RNA, 305 nt
Organism: Cervus elaphus (red deer)
Lineage: Eukaryota; Metazoa; Chordata; Mammalia; Artiodactyla; Cervidae
Exons: 3
Source: RefSeq, a predicted model, not a curated record